GGACGAAGAGGAGGAGGAGGAGGGCAGGACGCAGGCUGGGCACCAUCCUUAACUCCUUCUGUGCCCAGCUCCCCGGGGCAUGGCCGGCAGCGCUCCCCGCUUCUGCUGGGCUCCUUCUGCCGUCGGGUCUGCAAAAUCCUCGGAGCUUCGCGCCGGGGCUGCAAGGAAGCGGUCACAGCCUCUGACCACAGCACGUGGCAGACAGAUCAAUAAGAGGGCAGCGUCCUUUGAUGGAUUCCCAGCCGAAGCCUCCAUCCAUCUUCGCUGAGCCACUUUCUGCCUCUGAAGCACAGGAGAGAGCAUGGACAAGGUGAACAUCCUGCAUCUGCUGGACCAAGGUCUCCAGGAUGGCUGCUUUUUGGGGCUCUUUGUGUGAGUUACGCCACCGCAGCAUUCCUCUGUUGUCUCCUGUCACCCUGCAGCCAUCCUCCCAGCCCCCUUGGGACUGCUCUGUGCACCCAUUCAGCAUGACAUGGCCAACAGGGACAAGACCAGAGCAGGUCCCUGCCCUUGGGGAACCUGGCACACGUGUCCCCACUUCCCCCUUGGGGCACUGGUAGCAGUGAUGGCCACGGGUACUUGAUACUUCUAACUGGGACGUCUGCAGGCAAAAAGCAAUCCCCAGAGUCAUGGACAUAGAGGUCAAGCUGGUAGAAGAGUGGAAUUUGGCUUUUCAUCUGAAAACACAGCCAAGAUUGGAAAUGGGCCUCAGUUUCCCUUCUGGUUGGUUGGGGCUGUUCCUUUCCUGUGACAAUGAGGAAAGCAGAGGGUGGUUUUUAGUGUGGUGUUCGGUGUAGGAAGUGCUGUCACAGUGCGGAACUGCUUUAAAAUCCAGUUUCAGGCUCUUUCUCCAAGCUUUGACCGUUUUUCCUCCUUCUGGACCUGCAGAGAAGGGAAGAUGUUCUCUAAUUCUAUCUGCAAAAAAAAAAAGUGGUUGCUGGGCCCAGGUGUUCCACAUACCGAGACAUUGUACAACUGUGCUCCAAAUUUUGGCCAGUCUUGUUGUAUUUAACUGUUCCAUAUAGCCUGCUUUGUCCCUGCAAGCCUUACAGGGCAAAGCUUAAUCCAAAGACCUGCUGAAUACAUUGUGGGGAGGGAGGCUGAAGGCUCCUUGCUCAACCCACAACCACUUGUAAUGGUUAAUGACUUAGAGCUGUGCUGGCAGAAAGGUUCGUUGGUCUUGAAGACCCUGAGAAAGGCUUGGGUGGCCUUCAGACACUUCAGACCCCUGCUCAUCCCGUCAAACUCUACCAGAGAGGCUGGAGUUGUCAAUGCAGUCAUGCAGGGAGAGAAACCAGCGUACUCCCAGGAGAAGGAAAAGCCAGCCAGGACACACUUUGUGCUGAGUCUUGCUCUGACUCACUGCUCCAUGCAGCAAACGACCAAUUCCUUCAGUGCAUGGAUAAUUCCCUCCCAUGCUUUCUUUUCCCUCUCCCAGAUUGUGUGCAUCAGUACAUCAUGUUAACAAAAACGCU
Long non-coding RNA from Cygnus olor (mute swan), 1475 nucleotides. RefSeq lists it as uncharacterized. Lineage: Eukaryota; Metazoa; Chordata; Aves; Anseriformes; Anatidae. The record is from RefSeq and is a predicted model, not a curated record. The transcript is spliced from 3 exons.